AUUGAACGCUGGCGGAAUGCUUUACACAUGCAAGUCGAACGGCAGCACGGGGGCAGCCCUGGUGGCGAGUGGCGAACGGGUGAGUAAUACAUCGGAACGUGCCCGGUCGUGGGGGAUAACGUAGCGAAAGUUACGCUAAUACCGCAUACGAUCUGAGGAUGAAAGCGGGGGACCUUCGGGCCUCGCGCGAUCGGAGCGGCCGAUGUCAGAUUAGGUAGUUGGUGGGGUAAAGGCCUACCAAGCCGACGAUCAGUAGCUGGUCUGAGAGGACGACCAGCCACACUGGGACUGAGACACGGCCCAGACUCCUACGGGAGGCAGCAGUGGGGAAUUUUGGACAAUGGGCGCAAGCCUGAUCCAGCCAUUCCGCGUGCAGGACGAAGGCCUUCGGGUUGUAAACUGCUUUUGUACGGAACGAAAAGGCUCUGGCUAAUACCUGGGGCUCAUGACGGUACCGUAAGAAUAAGCACCGGCUAACUACGUG
Molecule: ribosomal RNA, 484 nt
Filed under: uncultured bacterium
Lineage: Bacteria
Description: partial 16S ribosomal RNA
Rfam family: Bacterial small subunit ribosomal RNA
Source: RNAcentral